Dinoponera quadriceps is the source of this 1294-nucleotide RNA transcript. RefSeq lists it as uncharacterized. The transcript has 8 exons. The record is from RefSeq and is a predicted model, not a curated record. Lineage: Eukaryota; Metazoa; Arthropoda; Insecta; Hymenoptera; Formicidae.
GGGGUUGUGCCAUAAAUGUCGCGCGGCUUAUUGCCGGAUACCGUCGCCAGAUCGGCGCUACCGUGUACCAAGCCACGGUAUACUAGCCCACACUUUUGGCGGCAGCCGCCCAGUCUAAGGUCCAAACCCCGAACCGAACGGUCGCCCGAAAUACUUAGCGAACGAGCGUGGUUAGCAGUUCAGCGGAGUGGUAAAAUGGACGCACGAUUCAGAAGCAAUCUCGACAUGAUCGGACGCAACGAGCCUAUCACAAGGAAGGCGAAAUUUUGGCAGAGUUACGUACGGGCCUUGAAAGGUACCGACGAUAUCAGAGCUCCCGAGCACACUCACAGACCCCGCAGCAUUUUCCGCUCGGAAUUUCCUGAGCUGCAUUCCACCUCGUGGCCGUUUGGAAAGUCAAUCUUCGAAAACCCGAUUCACGCAGCCGACCGUAUCAAUGUUCCCGGAUACAGGUAUCUACCCGUGCAUCGUGAGAUUUACGGCUACUCGCCGAGGCAGCUGUAUCCCCAUCAGUACAAACCCGUAGAACGCUUCGUCCCCGCGAAAGCAUUCGACGCCGAGAAGGCCUGGACCGACCAUCUAAACCGUUUGGCGGACAUCGACAGGCUCUACCCGAGCAAAUCGCCGCUUCUGGCUCGCCACCUAAGUCCGCCGCUCACUACGAAACGAUUGUUCGACAUCUACGGUAAUCUCGUGGACGACGACUUCUUGUUGCCGCGUCCGUCCAUCUUGCUGCGCAAGAAGCCGUUUUUCGAUCUCCUGGAGCCAUCACCAAUGGCGCCCAUCAGCGCAUUCACCAGGGACCCGUGGUGGUACCCGAGCUACGCGCCUUACAUACCGAGCUACGCUCAAUACCGCACACCGUUUUACUUGAGGGACAGCUACCUCAGUCCGAUUAAGCGUAGCUAUCUGUGGAGCCGACAUCCCAUCAGGCCCUUCGACUGUGUUGUCGCUACAAGAAUGUUCUUAGAAACGUGUGGUAAUUAUUAAUUUAAUUACCGUGCCUCUACUCCGCUGAGGAGCUCCGCCGACAGAAUAUCGAACACGCGCUCACGUCUACUGAUGACUAUCCGGCGCCAUACGGAAAGAAACGAUGAAAAAAGGAAAAUAAUGCCCGAAAAAAGAAUCUACAAAAAAUGAUAGAGAGGAAACGUUCCGAAAGGGCUUUGGCGUCUCUUAUCAUAUUGUCCACGGAGUUUUAUUUAUUUAUUAACAUCUUCCGUCACAUGUUUUAUUGUACUAUUCAAUCGUGAUCUGUCUACGAAAUAAAAGAAACACUGCCAAAAUUUUACAA